Molecule: ribosomal RNA, 468 nt
Filed under: uncultured bacterium
Lineage: Bacteria
Description: partial 16S ribosomal RNA
Rfam family: Bacterial small subunit ribosomal RNA
Source: RNAcentral
GACGAACGCUGGCGGCGUGCUUAACACAUGCAAGUCGAACGGGAAUUCCCUGCUUUUGUGGUGUGCUCGAGUGUCGUACUGGUGAUUAACACGUGAGUAACCUGCCCUUGACUUUGUGAUUACUUCAGGAAACUGGGGCUAAUACCGGAUAGUUGCUCCUGCUUAAUGUUGUGGGUUGGAAUGUUUCGGCGGUUCGGGAUGGACUCGUGGCUUAUCAGCUUGUUGGUGGGGUAGUGGAUUACCAAGGCUUUGACGGGUAGACGGCCUGAGAGGGUCACCGGAAACAUUAGAACUGAGAUAAGGCACAGACUAAUACGGGAGGCAGCGGUGGGGAAGAUUGCACAAUGGGCGGAAGCAUGAUGCGGCAACGCCGCGUGGGGGAAAACGGGAAGCGGGUUGUAACCCGCAGUCGCCUGUGACGAAGAGUGAGUGACGGUAAUAGGGAAAGAAGCACCGGCUAACUACGUG